GGUGUGUGUGGGUAGGACACCUAAUGCCCCCCUAGGGAAGGUGGGUGUAGGUGGUAUCCAAUCAGGGUGUGUGGGUAGGACACCUAAUGCCCCCCUAGGGAAGGUGGGUGUAGGUGGUAUCCAAUCAGGUGUGUGGGAAGAAGAUGGUGAGAGACACAUAGCAUUACACAUUGUACCUCCAGUUAAUCUACCUCAGUCGUCCUAUACAGCCUUCAUCCCACCACUCCAGGAGCAUCAGCAGCAACAGCAGCAACAACACCCGUUGUACAACAAUGUGGACAGUAACCUUUUUUAAAUCUAACUCCAGUCCCACAUUGUCACACACUUGUGUUCUACUUUGUAUCAGUUAUUGUGCAACUUUGUUGAUUCGCAGACAACUGUGUACAAUGUGUUAAAUAUGAUCAUAUGGCAACUAGGAUUCUAAGGAUGCACACUUUCAAUUUUAACAGUGUAUAACAAUGUUUAACCCAAAGCAGCUCUCAGUUGUUAGUUUACCAGGACACAGACACAGCGUUGUACACUCUGUUAGCCACAGAUCUGGUUGUACUGAGUUUGUGCAUGUUUCUAAUAUUCAGUUUCAAAGGCUGAUCUUUGACCUAAGUAAACCUCAUUUGACUUUUAUGGUGACCUUUAACUUUUGGUGACCUUGAGCUGUUCUAUACGUGUGCUUUUUACGCUGUAUCCAUGUGGUUCACAGACAUAGGAUGUAUCUCACAACAAUGACAGUUUGAAUGUGUUGAAUCAUUUAAUUAGUCUGUCCUUGUUAGUAUGGUUGUGUUAUACCAGUGUGGUAAGUCUGUGUCGUUACCAUAGUUACCAUGUUACAGAGUUGUAGUUACCAUGGGUUCCUUUUGUAGCCAGCUGUGUGCACUGUUAGAUAAUCAAGGGGGAUAAUCAAGGGGGAUAAUCCUGGGUGUAGAUGCUUUGUAACUCUCGGCCGUAUCUGCUCCAGUCACGAUCCGCUUUGGUCGCUACAGUGGUAUCAAUGCUUUCUGGUCUCCCCAGGUCAGGUCGACCUGUGGCGUUAUGAGAGAUAGCCUGUAGAGGUCGACCUGUGGUGCUUGAAGAAAUGGCCUGCAGAGGUCGACCUGUGGUGCUUGAAGAAAUGGCCUGCAGAGGUCGACCUGUGGUGCUAUGAGAGAUAGCAUGCAGAGGUCGAUCAGUGGUGCUUGAGGAAAUGGCCUGCAGAGGUCGACCUGUGGUGCUAUGAGAGAUAUCAUGCAGAGGUCAAACUUUGGUGCUCACAGAUAGAUUGAAAUGUUGACCUUGGUGCUGGCACACAUAAGGUGCAAAGGUCGACCUUGGGUGCUGAGAUACAUUAAAUGCAUAGGUCGACCUUGGGUGCUGACACACAUUUAAUGCAAAAGUUACCCAUUUCUGCUGACAUACAUUAAAUGCAGACUGUAAAUGCAUAGGUCGACCUCCUGUUCUGUCAGAGAUUGAAUGUUAAGAUCACUCCUGCUGCUGACAGUGAUGUCUGUUCAGAGUUCACAGAACCUGUGGUACAACCGUCGCACCAGUCCUUUUAUUCUCUGGGAAAACAGUUGCUGUAGAGCAGUUGAACAUUUUGACCAUUCCGCAAGAAGCGAUUGUAUGGAUAUUAAACUGGGGAGAUCAGUCAGUGCAGUGGAAGGCUUAAUCUAGAACAUAUAGUUAGAACAUGAUUAAGGAACGUUCAUAAUUUAUGGCUAGGGAGUGAUGAUGAUUUUAUGGAGGAGCAUGUAAAAUUUGAAUGACCCC
This 1740-nucleotide long non-coding RNA is filed under the name Haliotis rubra (blacklip abalone). RNAcentral's name for it is "uncharacterized LOC124253916, transcript variant X1". The record is from RNAcentral. Lineage: Eukaryota; Metazoa; Mollusca; Gastropoda; Lepetellida; Haliotidae.